RNAcentral lists this ribosomal RNA (274 nucleotides) under uncultured bacterium. RNAcentral describes it as "partial 16S ribosomal RNA". It matches the Rfam family "Bacterial small subunit ribosomal RNA", at positions 523 to 796 of the family's 1533-position model. The record is from RNAcentral.
AUACGGAGGGGACAAGCGUUAUUCGGAGUCACUGGGCGUAAAGGACGCGUAGGCGGGUUAUUAAGUCGGGUGUGAAAUCCAAUGGCUCAACCAUUGAACUGCAUUCGAAACUGAUAACCUAGAGUAUGGAAGGGGCAGGUGGAAUUAGUGGUGUAGGGGUAAAAUCCGUAGAUAUCACUAGGAAUACCGAAAGCGAAGGCGACCUGCUGGGACAUUACUGACGCUGAGGCGUGAAAGCGUGGGGAGCAAACAGGAUUAGAAACCCCAGUAGUCC